GGGAGUAUGGCCAAGUAGUAAGGCAAGCGGCUGCAACCCGCUGAUCGAGGGUGCAAAUCCCUCUACUCCCU
This 71-nucleotide transfer RNA is filed under the name Candidatus Woesearchaeota archaeon B3_Woes. RNAcentral's name for it is "tRNA-Cys". It matches the Rfam family "tRNA". From Rfam's summary of the family: Transfer RNA (tRNA) molecules are approximately 80 nucleotides in length. Their secondary structure includes four short double-helical elements and three loops (D, anti-codon, and T loops). Lineage: Archaea; Nanobdellati; Candidatus Woesearchaeota. The record is from RNAcentral.